UGUCACAGAACUAUCAAGAACGUAAUUAAAACUCUUAGUGCAGUGUCCAAGUCAGAAUAUAGGGGUUAAGAACACAUGGCUCAGAGAUAAGAACCUGUGGGAGGAGGACUGCCUUACGGGAGAGCUCUGUUGGCCGGAUGCCCUCCAGGUCCCACACAUCACGCCAUGAAGAUGGCUGCCUCCUCCUGGGGAGGAUGGAGUUGAGGAGGAGGAGGAGGAAGGCGGCGUCUGGGAUACCUCCUGAGCGUCUAAGCAGGCCUGCAAGGCAGCCUGCAGCUUGGCCUCUACCCGUGUGAUGCAGCAAACACACUUGCAAGGCAUGUUCUACUCUUCAAAUGACGGUAUAUAGAACCCGCGGGUACUUAUAAGGUGAAGAUUGACCCUGUGUGAAUGACAAGGAAGUGAUUCCUGAAGUUCCAGAGGGAGGAAGGGAUUUGCUCAAAGUCACCCAGCAGGCAGUGUUAUUGACGCUGUUUCACAAACGAGGACCUCCGAUGGAAGGAGCUAGGCUACCUGGGAGAAAUGAUAUUCUGCUGGCAUCCCACUACACUUUCUACCUGAGGCAUCGUCCCUAAAACACUAGGACAUCAGGAAAACCUAAUGAUGACUACUGUUUCAUUUAGGGCCCUCUCAGCUGCAAGUACAAAGACAUAGAAACCAAGUAUUGGGUUUUUAGCUGAGAAGCCCAGCAUCAGGCUGGACCACCAUCUGCGCAUCCUGUCUGGGGUUCAUACACAACAAAGACCUGAUUUCUCUCCUGUUCUCCGCUCAGCUUUCAUGGUCUCCUGGAGCUGAGAUCUUCUCAGCCCACAGGUGAUGACAGAAUGGAGAUAGUGGUUCCGGCUUCAAUGCUUCCAGGUUCAAGUCCACGGGGAAGAACCCUGCCUCCCUCUCAGAAGGCUCAGCUCCAGUCCCCUGGGUUCCAGUAGAAGCCCAAGCCCCUCCAGGAACCCCUUACUGUUACUGUGAAGGCGGAAUAUGGCUUUGGUUAAUUGAGGCCAACUCACAGUGCUAGAUCAAUCCCCCUAAACCACAAGGGCGGAGGGUGGGACCAGAUAGGUUAUUAAGGGAAAUUUGGGUACUCUUUUACCCAGAGGGUGAACAGAUGCUAAAUGGCCCAACUAUGCACAUGUGUAGCCAUCCACUGCAACAAUGCGUAGUAGUUGGUUAAUAAAUUUAUUUUCAUUUACCAAUUGAUUUAUCAGCAAAAUGAAU
This 1215-nucleotide long non-coding RNA is filed under the name Homo sapiens (human). RNAcentral's name for it is "HSALNT0366377". Lineage: Eukaryota; Metazoa; Chordata; Mammalia; Primates; Hominidae. The record is from RNAcentral.